AGGGCUCGCGGGGGUCCCGCGAGGGUCUCGGUAGCCGCGCGCCCAGAGACCCCCGCCGCGGCCCGAUUCUCUGAGCGCCAGACAUGAACCGCAAGAAACUGCAGAAGCUGACGGACACCUUAACCAAAAAUUGCAAGCAUUGUCCAAGUUCUGGAAGCUUACCAAGAGACCCAUAGGAGAAAACGGUGCUCAACUUCUCAACAUCUUUCGGAGAGAUGAGUUGUGUCAUCUCAUCUGUGCCUCAGAACAAUAUUUGUUUGGAAACCAGAGUUCAGCACAACUAAACACGUGACUAUGAACUGGCUGUGAGAGAAGAGACUCUUCUACUGGAGGCCUUUGGGCCAUGUCUUCCUGAUCCAAAGCUAGGCUCACAGAGGUCCCUGGGGUGAGAGAUUGUCAGCGUGGAGGACAUUUGGAUGCACUGGUUGAAACCCAGGCUGCCCUCUCCUAGCCUGAGCUGCACCUGCCCACCUCCCAUCUGCAUUUCCAAAGCCUCGUGUGGAUGAAGGGGACCUAAGCAGCCUGCUCCCUGAGGGAGGACACCACCACUUGGAGCCACACAGCCUGAAGACAGAGAACAGUGUGGAAAUUGAGGAAAUUGGAUUUUGGAAAAUCAGGAACGUCCUAUGUGUCUCAACUAGAAAAGGGCAAAAGCCAAGAUUCAGACCUUAUCUAGUUCUAAUGCUGAAGACCUUUGUCUAAAGCAAAUCUGUUCUCGCCACAUAUCCUCCACUUACUCCUGUGGAGUGAGUGAGUGUCUCCAGCUCCAGAAUCUCCCGGCAGACCCUCGUGGCUGCAGGCUGGGUUGCUAUGUGGUGUACAUGUAUUGUGAGAUCAUUGAUUCCUCUCCUAUCCACUCUUCUCAUCUGAACAUACCUUGGGAUUUGCUUUCUUUAGUGGGAGUUUCCUGCUUGGAUGUAAUGCCUUUCAUAUUUGGUGCUAAUAAGAAUCUGGACAUUAGGCUGGGACCUGGCCUUAACAAGAGUUCAGAUGUGGUGGAGAACAUGGAGUGGUCACUAGGCUGGAAAACUCUGUUGGCACCAAGAGAGGCAGAGUGAGAGGAGCGUCAACAGACUAUGCUAAGAGGGAAGAGAGGUAGAGACCACCACCUGCUUGUGAGGAGAAUGGUGGAAGCCAGACUCCUCAACUAGAGAGGGACAAGGAAUGCUUCUUUGGGCCGUCUCGGAUGAUGUCAGGGAAAGGCUUCUACCUAGAGAAGAAGAAGAUGCCAAUGAUAAGAGGCCAUGAAAUGAAGUGGCAAACAUAAUAAAUUAUAAUGUGGUGCUUUCCAGGUGCCAGUCACUAGCCCAAGGAUAGACAGCUGGGACAUGGUAGAGCUGGGAUUUGUACCAGAUUUGACCUGCAGCCCAGGCCAUUACCCAUGUUCUAGCCCUGACUGCCUCUUACUGUCACAAGAUACCACCUGGCAUGGCACAGGUCACAUGAACUUUGAAAGUGUGAUAUAAGUGAAAAGUGAUUAUAGGUUGGUAGGAACCAUGGCAUUUAUCAUCCCAAAUGGGAUGCUAUCGUGAAAGAAGAUGCUCAUAGUUACAUCAGCACAAUGUAAUCUGGGGUUGUCCCAGGCAAAGCAGGAUGUAUUGUCACCCUAUUUAUAGGUUAUGAAUUACUCCACAAAUUAAAUUUAUGUAAAAUUGGAAUAA
Molecule: long non-coding RNA, 1661 nt
Filed under: Homo sapiens (human)
Lineage: Eukaryota; Metazoa; Chordata; Mammalia; Primates; Hominidae
Description: non-protein coding lnc-EFCAB1-5:3
Source: RNAcentral